Molecule: ribosomal RNA, 279 nt
Filed under: uncultured bacterium
Lineage: Bacteria
Description: partial 16S ribosomal RNA
Rfam family: Bacterial small subunit ribosomal RNA
Source: RNAcentral
UGCCAGCAGCCGCGGUAAUACGGAGGGUGCAAGCGUUAAUCGGAAUUACUGGGCGUAAAGCGCGCGUAGGCGGUUUGUUAAGCGAGAUGUGAAAGCCCAGGGCUCAACCUGGGAACUGCAUUCGAUACUGGCAGACUAGAGUGCGAGAGAGGGAGGUAGAAUUCCAUGUGUAGCGGUGAAAUGCGUAGAUAUGUGGAGGAAUACCAGUGGCGAAGGCGGCCUCCUGGGCCAAUACUGACGCUGAGGUUCGAAAGCGGGGGUAGCGAACAGGAUGAGAUA